GAUUCGUCACACUAUCAUUAACUGAAUCCAUAGGUUAAUGAGGCGAACCGGGGGAACUGAAACAUCUAAGUACCCCGAGGAAAAGAAAUCAACCGAGAUUCCCCCAGUAGCGGCGAGCGAACGGGGAGGAGCCCAGAGCCUGAAUCAGCAUGUGUGUUAGUGGAAGCGUCUGGAAAGGCGCGCGAUACAGGGUGACAGCCCCGUACACAAAAGCGCAUGUGCUGUGAGCUCGAUGAGUAGGGCGGGACACGUGGUAUCCUGUCUGAAUAUGGGGGGACCAUCCUCCAAGGCUAAAUACUCCUGACUGACCGAUAGUGAACCAGUACCGUGAGGGAAAGGCGAAAAGAACCCCGGCGAGGGGAGUGAAAAAGAACCUGAAACCGUGUACGUACAAGCAGUGGGAGCACCCUUCGGGGUGUGACUGCGUACCUUUUGUAUAAUGGGUCAGCGACUUAUAUUCUGUAGCAAGGUUAACCGUAUAGGGGAGCCGGAGGGAAACCGAGUCUUAACCGGGCGUUAAGUUGCAGGGUAUAGACCCGAAACCCGGUGAUCUAGCCAUGGGCAGGUUGAAGGUUGGGUAACACUAACUGGAGGACCGAACCGACUAAUGUUGAAAAAUUAGCGGAUGACCUGUGGCUGGGGGUGAAAGGCCAAUCAAACCGGGAGAUAGCUGGUUCUCCCCGAAAGCUAUUUAGGUAGCGCCUCGUGAAUUCAUCUCCGGGGGUAGAGCACUGUUUCGGCUAGGGGGCCAUCCCGGCUUACCAACCCGAUGCAAACUGCGAAUACCGGAGAAUGUUAUCACGGGAGACACACGGCGGGUGCUAACGUCCGUCGUGAAGAGGGAAACAACCCAGACCGCCAGCUAAGGUCCCAAAGUCAUGGUUAAGUGGGAAACGAUGUGGGAAGGCCCAGACAGCCAGGAUGUUGGCUUAGAAGCAGCCAUCAUUUAAAGAAAGCGUAAUAGCUCACUGGUCGAGUCGGCCUGCGCGGAAGAUGUAACGGGGCUAAACCAUGCACCGAAGCUGCGGCAGCGAACGUAUCACCCAAGACAACUUUACGGAGUUGACGAUUGACGGAGCGAAGCGACGUCAAAGCGUUCAUUAAAGUCGAGUUGGCUUAGGGAUACGUUCGUUGGGUAGGGGAGCGUUCUGUAAGCCUGUGAAGGUGUGUCGUGAGGCAUGCUGGAGGUAUCAGAAGUGCGAAUGCUGACAUAAGUAACGAUAAAGCGGGUGAAAAGCCCGCUCGCCGGAAGACCAAGGGUUCCUGUCCAACGUUAAUCGGGGCAGGGUGAGUCGACCCCUAAGGCGAGGCCGAAAGGCGUAGUCGAUGGGAAACGGGUUAAUAUUCCCGUACUUGGUGUUACUGCGAAGGGGGGACGGAGAAGGCUAUGUUGGCCGGGCGACGGUUGUCCCGGUUUAAGCGUGUAGGUGUGUGUUCCAGGUAAAUCCGGUUCACUUUAACACUGAGGCGUGACGACGAGGCACUACGGUGCUGAAGCAACAAAUGCCCUGCUUCCAGGAAAAGCCUCUAAGCAUCAGGUAACACGAAAUCGUACCCCAAACCGACACAGGUGGUCAGGUAGAGAAUACCAAGGCGCUUGAGAGAACUCGGGUGAAGGAACUAGGCAAAAUGGUGCCGUAACUUCGGGAGAAGGCACGCUGACACGUAGGUGAAGUGAUUUACUCAUGGAGCUGAAGUCAGUCGAAGAUACCAGCUGGCUGCAACUGUUUAUUAAAAACACAGCACUGUGCAAACACGAAAGUGGACGUAUACGGUGUGACGCCUGCCCGGUGCCGGAAGGUUAAUUGAUGGGGUCAGCGCAAGCGAAGCUCCUGAUCGAAGCCCCGGUAAACGGCGGCCGUAACUAUAACGGUCCUAAGGUAGCGAAAUUCCUUGUCGGGUAAGUUCCGACCUGCACGAAUGGCGUAAUGAUGGCCAGGCUGUCUCCACCCGAGACUCAGUGAAAUUGAACUCGCUGUGAAGAUGCAGUGUACCCGCGGCAAGACGGAAAGACCCCGUGAACCUUUACUAUAGCUUGACACUGAACAUUGAGCCUUGAUGUGUAGGAUAGGUGGGAGGCUUUGAAGUGUGGACGCCAGUCUGCAUGGAGCCGACCUUGAAAUACCACCCUUUAAUGUUUGAUGUUCUAACGUGGACCCGUAAUCCGGGUUGCGGACAGUGUCUGGUGGGUAGUUUGACUGGGGCGGUCUCCUCCUAAAGAGUAACGGAGGAGCACGAAGGUUGGCUAAUCCUGGUCGGACAUCAGGAGGUUAGUGCAAUGGCAUAAGCCAGCUUGACUGCGAGCGUGACGGCGCGAGCAGGUGCGAAAGCAGGUCAUAGUGAUCCGGUGGUUCUGAAUGGAAGGGCCAUCGCUCAACGGAUAAAAGGUACUCCGGGGAUAACAGGCUGAUACCGCCCAAGAGUUCAUAUCGACGGCGGUGUUUGGCACCUCGAUGUCGGCUCAUCACAUCCUGGGGCUGAAGUAGGUCCCAAGGGUAUGGCUGUUCGCCAUUUAAAGUGGUACGCGAGCUGGGUUUAGAACGUCGUGAGACAGUUCGGUCCCUAUCUGCCGUGGGCGCUGGAGAACUGAGGGGGGCUGCUCCUAGUACGAGAGGACCGGAGUGGACGCAUCACUGGUGUUCGGGUUGUCAUGCCAAUGGCACUGCCCGGUAGCUAAAUGCGGAAGAGAUAAGUGCUGAAAGCAUCUAAGCACGAAACUUGCCCCGAGAUGAGUUCUCCCUGAGACUUAGAGUCUCCUGAAGGAACGUUGAAGACGACGACGUUGAUAGG
Molecule: ribosomal RNA, 2790 nt
Filed under: Salmonella enterica subsp. enterica serovar Typhimurium
Lineage: Bacteria; Pseudomonadati; Pseudomonadota; Gammaproteobacteria; Enterobacterales; Enterobacteriaceae
Description: partial 23S ribosomal RNA
Rfam family: Bacterial large subunit ribosomal RNA
Source: RNAcentral